Non-coding RNA from Penaeus vannamei (Pacific white shrimp), 684 nucleotides. Lineage: Eukaryota; Metazoa; Arthropoda; Malacostraca; Decapoda; Penaeidae. The record is from RefSeq and is a predicted model, not a curated record.
UCAGCACAAGGAACCGGUGCACAAGAGACUCUCCUUUCUUUCAGUAUGAAGGUGACACUGAUCCUGGUCCUGGUGGCCGUCGUCGGCCUCUCCUCUGCCUACUCCCUCGGCGAUGUCUACGAGAAGCUCCAUCGUGUCGAGAGAGACAUGAGCAGCAACAGCUGGAGCAAUUCCGUGGAGGACAUAGAGAAAAGGGACAUCAGCGGCAAUAGCUUUAGCAAUUCCGUGGAGGACAUAGAGAAGAGGGACAUCAGCGGCAAUAGCUGGAGCAAUUCCGUGGAGGACAUAGAGAAAAGGGACAUCAGCGGCAAUAGCUGGAGCAAUUCCGUGGAGGACAUAGAGAAAGGGACAUCAGCGGCAAUAGCUUUAGCAAUUCCGUGGAGGACAUAGAGAAGAGAGACAUCAGUGGGGCAGCAGCUCCUUGGAAAGCAGGAAGAAACGUGACGCCUUCGCUGCCUCUCACGACCUCGAUCUGAGGCGCCUCAGGAGAAGCGACAGCUCCAACAGUGGCAGCUACAGCAUUGAGGAUUGAGGAAUGCUCUGAGGAAGGGAAAACUGCCGCUCCUUCAAGGACUCUGAGCGACGGCGCUGACCUUUGGCGAACGACCUGACCUCCAUUUGGCUCUGCUGAUUGAAAUUGGGAUAAUUCGAACAUUCAAACCCUUGACAUUACGCAUCAGUAAG